GGGUCUGAGAAACUGUGUGUUUCCUAUUGCAUUUAUCAAUAAGUAACCUGGCUAAAGGUAAUAACUUUCAGGAACUCCUGUGUACAUCCACAAACAAUUCUGCUGAUUUCCACAAAGGUAUCCUCUCCUAUCACUGUGGGUGCUGAAGAUCCAGGAUAUGUGACAAGCAGUCAGACCUAGUUUUAGGCAAGCAUUUCAGUGGAUUUGACUGAGUGUACAAAAGGUGCAAGGUCACAGAACAAAAAGCAAACAAAAAAGUUUUAAGUAAGUGAUUUUGAGUGUAGAACUACCCUUAUUUUGCCUUUUCAGAUAAGCAGAACACGUACCAUAGCAAGGAUUUCCUAAAGUGAGGAACCGAGUAAUGUAAAGGAGAAUCUCCAUUUCAGAGGAUCAGAAAGAGACACUACCGAACAGCAUCACUUCAGUCUUGCCUCAUAGGAACAGAGUCCAGAGACACCAAUGGAAGUAAUGUGCUUUUGGCAUCAGUACAUGAUGGGAAACAACCAGGGAUGGCUGUCGGUACGCUCACAAAUGCACGUACACAGACACAGAGCUACCUUGUCCUUGUUAGGAGAGACUUCAAGCAAAGACUGUUUAUCUUGCAGAACAGUGGAGGCUGUUGUAACUCUUAAGGCAAGCUCUGCACAGAGUUCUGUCUUUGCACUGGACAUCAUGUCCCUUUGCAGCUCAGCUUGAUAAAAGCAAUGAAGAAAUAAGGGUCAUAGACAUCAUACUGUCCUAUCCAGGUAUACAGCGAGGGGUUGUUACUAACUAAAAAGAGAAAUCAUCCUGGUUUGGAUGACUGAGGGUGGGGCAAAACAGCUUGGAAGUCUCCUGUCAUGGUGCUUGAAUGCCUAUUGGAAGAUGUGACUUUUACUGUGCGAAGUGGUCCCGAUGUAUUCAUUCACUGUUUGUGCACCUUUAAUUUGCUUGUCCAGCCUCAUUAGCCUAGUUUCUACUAAUAAAUCUUUGUCAUAAAUUA
Long non-coding RNA from Pezoporus flaviventris, 982 nucleotides. RefSeq lists it as uncharacterized. The transcript is spliced from 2 exons. Lineage: Eukaryota; Metazoa; Chordata; Aves; Psittaciformes; Psittacidae. The record is from RefSeq and is a predicted model, not a curated record.